GGAGAGGAGGGUUAGAGCGGAGGAUGAUAUAAGCGCAGAGUUUUAAUGAGGAUCUACUUAUCUGUCACUCAUACUCCUUUCAUUGUUCCCCUCCCCCAUUUAGCGAGAUAGCAGGAGCGAGCUUGGGAUGGUGGGGGCAGCAAAGUCAGGGUCGAGGGGGGAGUAGCAAUGGUAAGGCACAUCACUUAUUUAUAGGUUAUAAAACCUUGCUCCCUCCUAUAUGGUCCAGUCUGCUUUUAGUUUUUUUAGUUGUUGUUUUUUUGUCUUCUUUGAAAUCUGUUUCACUUCCAUGAUAACUCGGCCUCCCUUUAGCAGCAAAUGCACGAGGGAGAGGAGUGAGAGGAGCUGAGGUUUAGUUACAGUGUGGCAAUCUGACAAUGUGCGUAUGUGUGUGUUUGUGUGUAAGCCAAUUAGCAUUCCCCUUGUUCACUGUCCCUUCUCGCUCUGUGUGUGUGUGUGUUAUUAAUAAAACAUACAGCAGAUGUUCCAAAGGAGCAUUUUAUCCAUAUGAUCAUUUUUAUUUAUAGAGCCCUAUUAAAUCAACGAUCCAUUCUAUAGAGCGGGGUUUGCAUGUGCUGUUUUUCUUUUUUUGUUAGGUCUCAUAAAAGAAUUGGAAAUUUUGUUGAAUCGUUCUCUCGUGCAUUGUGUUGCCCUGUCCUAACUACAGGCACAAACACGGGGCUGGACGAAAAGCCUCUAUGGUAUGCUUGUUCUUGGUUUGCGUUGCCUUGUGUGCGGGCUCUGUGCAGACGAGUUGAAUCCUGUUUUAUAAGUGAAUGUGUGCUCAGGUGUCGCCACACAAUCAGGCGGUUAGUGCGUUGCAUCGUAUAUGUGCAUAAUUAGGCUUGUGUGAGAGCUCCGCGAGGUCACGUAUAGGGUAAAGGCUGAUGCGCUGACAGCUGUGCUCUGUUGUGGCAGGUGUGUCGGGGCUGUAUAUGUAUGAGAACAACACGCCCGUGCCUGCAGCAGGACAUGAGCCUGCAGUACGUGUGCUCAGUGUGCAGGAAACUGUGCAGCUGUUGUUUGUAUGCUUUUGCCAGUGACUAGAGAUAUUGGAGUCAAGGUAGGAACUGUUUCUCUCUUUUUCUCCCCUGACAUUUAUUACUAAUUCUGAUCUUCAGGGUCUGUUUACCUAUGAUAUGAUCUUGAUACUCUGACAAAUGUUUGCAACCUCUAAUGCCAGUAAUAACUGCAAUAUUUGCAUCACAGCCCGAGCUGAAAGUGAGACAGUGAUUUGGAAAGUAUUCAGGCACCCUUUUCUGUGUCAAGCCACACUAAACCACACGUUUCAGAGUGGUUAGUGAAUGUAUUACUGACUAAAAAUCAUUCAUAUAAGUAGUGUUCAGUUCUUUAUACUUUUUACUUGUCCUUUGGCAAUAAUUGGAGCUUCUAGGCUACAAUCUUUGCACACCUGGCUUAAGAUAGUUUAUUUUAUUCUCUGUGACAGCUCUGUCAAAGUGGAUAACAAACGUGUACAAACUGACAAGUUCAGAUCUUGCCAAAGAUGUUUUAAACGGUUUAAUUCUGCUCCACUAGUUACAGUCUGAGACUUGUUUCGAAACCACUUUUCUUUUGGGUGUAAUACAGAUGUCAGCUUAAGGGAUGCCGAAGUGACCUCUGUGAUGACGAGUCAAAGAAAUCUACAACCUCCCCAGUUUGUCUGGACCAGAGAGAGUCUUUGCUGAGCUUCACAGAUACUCCCACUGUAAUCCAGAAACACCAGUAUAACUGUCCCGAGAAAAGGAAAUAGCACAGCAGUUCAGUCAUCCCCAGAAUGGCUGACCUUCCUCCCCUUGGCUUAAGACUUCCUUGUAUUCCCAGCAUUUUAUUAUAUGUUUGGGGCUAUUCCUCAUCAUCGAUUGGGAGCAGUACAGAGAAUAGAUGGGGGGAUGGAUGACCUUUUGAACACUGGGUGACUGUUGUCAUGAAAGGCGACUCCCACUCUCCCAAAGCCGAUGCACUCUGGCGAUGGUAUCUUGCAAGACCUACAUGCAUUUAGCCAGAAUCCUUUUCCUCAUCCUUCCUGUCGGGCUUUCUGACCCCAGCUGCAAAGAAGACCAUCCAACAGCAGUGCCUGUGUCCCACAAACACGAUUCUACAUGUUUGCUGAGUUUUUAUUUUCAGACAUCCUUUACAUGUGAUUUGAAACACAUGAAGCAGACUGUUAUGUGUCUUUUACUCAGAACUGCUCGCGUCUGGUGGCGGUCAAACUUCCUGCAGGUUCUCCGAUCUCUACAGAAAACAUCUGAAGUCUUCUUGCAAUAAAUGCUGAAUUCUUGGUCACAUACCAGACCAAUUAAAUAUUUACUCAGACAUCCUACUUAGUCUGGCUGACUCUAAGAAGAGCCCUGGUCAUUCCGUUACUUGGGUGUUUCUCCUAAUAACCACUCAAACCUUUAUAAAUGGAUUUAGAACCAGCACCUCAAUGCAGUUUCCAGUCAUAAUGGCUGCUAUUGUCUUGCUGUGCAGUGUGAAUUGUAGAAGCUUUAUAUACACAGGUGUGUGCCUUUCUAAACUAUGGCUAAUCAGUUUGCCAGUUUGCCACAGGUGGAUUCCAGCAGAGCUCAAGGACAGUUAAAGUAAACAGGAUGCACCUGACCACAAUUUGGAUUCCCACACAAAGGGUGCAAUGACGUUCGUAAAGGAGAAAAUGUUCUAAAAUGAUUUUACGUUAUGUUCACAGUGAACACAAUGGAGUGUGCAACAGCUGAACAGAUCUAGUGAAUUUUUUUCAGCUGGGUACGGUUUGACUUCCUCUGUUACUCAGACCUUUGAUUAGUAUUAUUGACAUAGUCAGAAAUGCAUUUGCGCAGCUUCCAGCUUGUGUAACCGCCCUGCCUGUUCCAGUUCAGCGGUGGAUAUUAGAGGUGGCUGACAUGGAUGCAUUAUGUACUAACUUACAGUAUGGCAGAAAUGCAUUUGUCACACAAAGCUUUAACAGUCCUUCCAUUAACACUGACAGGAACAUGAACAUGCCCAGCUGAAUGCAUACGGAGCAGCCAUUCAUCAACCAAGCAGAAUUCUAACCUUCAUCUGAUAAGACCUUUGAAAUCUGUGCCAAAACUCUAAUCCAGGAUAGCAGUGCAUACACACACACACACACACACACAAGUGCACAAACAUCAAAGACAAAAAUCUGUAGCCAAUGUUUAUUGAUCUGCAGGUCUAUUUUUGCUCGGGGAAAUCAUUCUAACAUAAACCAGCCCUCUGUCAAAUUUGAGCUGCAGGGAAACAGGCAACAUUCAUGCAAUGCAUGUUAGAGUGAAGCAGUGAAAAUAAGCAAAGGAAGAUGUAUAAAUGCAGGUAAGCAGAAUCAGUGGAUGUGCAUAUAUGUGUGUAUAUUUGUGUUUUUGGCUGUGUAUAUAUGAAGACAUGUGAGAUCAGUGCUUUUGAACGUGUCAGAGAUCUUUCACGGAGACAAGCUGGAUUAAUUAGAGACAGUACAAAGUGAUGUCAGUCGUUGCCAUAGGAACUUUGUGCUACACUAGUGACACACUCAAGUGUCAGAGGUGCAAACUAUUAAAGUGUCUUUACUCUUGUACUCUUGCAGUGAACCAUUGCGGGGGGGUUAAAGGUUGGUUUGGAAAUGAUCAAAAUAAGAACUGUACUGAAAUUUUACUUGAAUGAAAACCUUUUUAAAGUCAAACUUGAACAUCAUUGUUGC
Long non-coding RNA from Astatotilapia calliptera (eastern happy), 3664 nucleotides. Lineage: Eukaryota; Metazoa; Chordata; Actinopteri; Cichliformes; Cichlidae. The record is from Ensembl.